GUGGGUAUAGCGCAGUUGGUUAGCGCGUCAGAUUGUGGCUCUGAAGGCCCAGGGUUUGAAUCCCUGUACCCGUUCGA
RNAcentral lists this transfer RNA (77 nucleotides) under Roseburia sp. CAG:100. RNAcentral describes it as "transfer RNA-His(GTG)". It matches the Rfam family "tRNA". Rfam says of the family: Transfer RNA (tRNA) molecules are approximately 80 nucleotides in length. Their secondary structure includes four short double-helical elements and three loops (D, anti-codon, and T loops). Lineage: Bacteria; Bacillati; Bacillota; Clostridia; Lachnospirales; Lachnospiraceae. The record is from RNAcentral.